Molecule: ribosomal RNA, 1045 nt
Filed under: Alexandrium catenella
Lineage: Eukaryota; Dinophyceae; Gonyaulacales; Pyrocystaceae
Description: partial large subunit ribosomal RNA
Rfam family: Eukaryotic large subunit ribosomal RNA
Source: RNAcentral
GGAGCUAUUGGCUUUGAAUUGUAUUGUGGAAAUGUAUUACCAACAGAGGUGCAGGUGCCAGCCUAUUGAAAUAAAGCGUCAAUGAGGGUGAGAAUCCUGUUUGUCAUGUGCAGCCCUUUGUGCACGGUGUAUAUUUGCUGAGUCACACUCCUUGGCAUUGGAAUGCAAAGUGGGUGGUAAGUUUCAUGUAAAGGUAAACAUGCAAUUGAGACUGAUAGCACACAAGUACCAUGAGGGAAAUAUGAAAAGGACUUUGAAAAGAGAAUUAAAUGAGUUUGUAUUUGCUGAACACAAAGUAAACAGACUUGAUUUGCUUGGUGGGAGUGUUGCACUUGCUUGACAAGAGCUUUGGGCUGUGGGUGUAAUGAUUCUUUCUUUGCAUGCCAGUUUCUAUUUGUACAUCUGAUUACCUUUGCACAUGAAUGAUAAGUCUCCUGUGGGGGGUGGAUUGCAUGUGCAUGUAAUGAUUUGUGUUUUGAUAAAUGUGUCUGGUGUAUGUGUGUGUUCCUGUGCUUGGGGAUGCUUCCUUCCUUGGACUUACAAGCCCUGACACACACAUGCUGGCAAAAUGCUUCUGCUUGACCCGUCUUGAAACACGGACCAAGGAGUCUAACAGAUGUGCAAAGUUUGAAGGUGGUAUACCUUUGUGUGCAAUGAAAGUGUCAGCUGGGAUAUGUGCACCAGCACCCAAUUAAUUAGCGGACAGAGGUUUGAGUUGGAGCAUAUCUAUUAGGACCCGAAAGAUGGUGAACUAUGCCUGAACAGAAUGAAUUCAGAGGAAACUCUGAUGGAGGUUCGUAUCGAUACUGACGUGCAAAUCGUUCGUCAUAUUUGGGUAUAGGGGCGAAAGACUAAUCGAACCAUCUAGUAGCUGGUUCCCUCCGAAGUUUCCCUCAGGAUAGCUGGAGUUGCUCAGUUUUAUCAGGUAAAGCGAAUGAUUAGAGGAAUUGGGGACAGGUUUGUCUUUGACCUAUUCUCAAACUUUAAAUGGGUAAUAUGUAGUGGUUGCUGUAUGGAACUUCUAAGAUAAAUGGCAAUAUUGGGU